This 292-nucleotide ribosomal RNA is filed under the name uncultured bacterium. RNAcentral describes it as "partial 16S ribosomal RNA". The record is from RNAcentral.
GGACUACUCGGGUUUCUAAUCCCGUUCGCUCCCCUGGCUUUCGUGUCUCAGCGUCAGCGCAUCCCCAGCAGUCUGUUUUCACCUUCGGCGUUCCAGACGAUAUCUACGCAUUUCACCGCUCCACCGUCUGUUCCGACUGCCCCUGGAUGGCUCAAGACCGCCAGUAUACCCAGCCGUUCCCCGGUUGAGCCGGGGGAUUUCACAAGGUACUUAACGGUCCGCCUACACACGCUUUAAGCCCAGUGAUUCCGCCUAACGCUCGGCACCUCUGUCUUACCGCGGCUGCUGGCAC